Molecule: long non-coding RNA, 1230 nt
Filed under: Paramuricea clavata
Lineage: Eukaryota; Metazoa; Cnidaria; Anthozoa; Malacalcyonacea; Plexauridae
Source: RNAcentral
GUUUUUGUUUUCAGCUAAAAAUAUUUUUCUCCUACUUUGCUUGUUUUACAAAGUCGAGGAAAAAAUGCCUUUCUUGUGGAUGCUGCAAUACGCUAUAAACGAAGAGUAAUUUCUUCAGGUAAGAUGUAUUUUUUUAAAAACUUUUCAGACGGCUAAAAAAUUUGUGUGUAUGAAAUUUUGCUUUUGUUUCAAGCUCUGGCUUUUGUGUUUUUACUCUCGGUUUUUAUUGCCAGUUACAGUAGUUUUAAAUAUUCUGUGUCCUUCUGUAUAUACUAUUUAUUAAAACCCUUACACUUACAAUAAGCAUUGUAAGCAUUUAGUAAGCUCUGGAUUUUAAUAUUUUAUAUAAUAUUAAUAAAUAUGUUUCCUGUGACUAUCUUAACUUUAUAUUAUUAAACUGCUAGUCUUUGCCAGAUUUUGUAUUAAACAGCAGUUGCCUACCGUGCAAUACUGCAGUUAGUCAUGUAUAUGUGGGGUGUAGGAGGUGUGUACAACCAAUUUGUAUAUGGCACUUUUGACAGCAGCUUGAGUUGUAAUGGCCAUGGGGCAACUUUUUUGCUGCAAUAAAUCACUAUUUUGUGCAUAUACCAACUGGUCCAACUCUGCAAUACAAGCAAAUGUUUUGUUGAUACCCUCAACACAAAGACCAAGCUUGAUGGGUAAUUCCACAAUACAUUCACACCUCCCAAAAAGAGGAAUACAAGUUAACACCUUUCUCCUUCAGUUGUUUAAUAUAUGUCAUCAAACAUUUUACUAUGAUAGAGGGGUUUGUCCUGCUUCCCUCUUCAGAUGACAGCAAUAUCCUCUGUAGUCAGGAGUUUUUAAUAAUCCUCGCAAUGGGUAAUUCCAGAAAAGAUCCAUACUCCCCCCACAGAGGAAAUUUCUGCCAUCCAGAGGGGGAAGGAAGAAAAAAUUGUUUCUGAUAAUAGUGUAUUGGGACAUCCAAAGGGGGUAGGGAGUUAACUUCCUAUUUCCUCUGUGGGGGUGGUAUGGAUGUUUUCUGGAAUGACCCAAUGAUAGACUAGCUAACUACAAUAUAUAUAACAUUACUCACUUUUCUUAUUUAGGUUGAAACUUUAAUGUGGACAAGAAUGAAACACAAGGUCUUUGGAGGUUCAAAUAGCAGGAGUAGUGGUGUACUGGCCAGGACCAGUAGUACCCCCUAGUAAGAGUACCCCUAGAAGUUUCAAGAUACUGAACAGCAGAGAGCAAAUUAGUCAUAGCCAGUGG